This 440-nucleotide ribosomal RNA is filed under the name uncultured bacterium. Its description in RNAcentral is "partial 16S ribosomal RNA". It matches the Rfam family "Bacterial small subunit ribosomal RNA", at positions 338 to 795 of the family's 1533-position model. The record is from RNAcentral.
CCUACGGGUGGCUGCAGUGGGGAAUAUUGCACAAUGGGGGGAACCCUGAUGCAGCGACGCCGCGUGGGUGAGGAAGUACUUCGGUAUGUAAAGCCCUAUCAGCAGGGAAGAAAAUGACGGUACCUGACUAAGAAGCCCCGGCUAACUACGUGCCAGCAGCCGCGGUAAUACGUAGGGGGCAAGCGUUAUCCGGAUUUACUGGGUGUAAAGGGAGCGUAGAUGGCGUGCCAAGUCUGGUGUGAAAGGCCGGGGCUCAACCCCGGGACUGCAUUGGAAACUGGCAUGCUGGAGUGCCGGAGGGGUAAGCGGAAUUCCUGGUGUAGCGGUGAAAUGCGUAGAUAUUAGGAGGAAUACCGAUGGCGAAGGCGGCUUACUGGACUGUAAAUGACGCUGAGGCUCGAAAGCGUGGGGAGCAAACAGGAUUAGAUACCCCAGUAGUC